RNAcentral lists this ribosomal RNA (467 nucleotides) under uncultured bacterium. RNAcentral describes it as "partial 16S ribosomal RNA". It matches the Rfam family "Bacterial small subunit ribosomal RNA", at positions 28 to 506 of the family's 1533-position model. The record is from RNAcentral.
GACGAACGCUGGCGGCGUGCUUAACACAUGCAAGUCGAACGGAAAGGCCCCGCUUUUGUGGGGUGCUCGAGUGGCGAACGGGUGAGUAACACGUGAGUAACCUGCCCUUGACUUUGGGAUAACUUCAGGAAACUGGGGCUAAUACCGGAUAGGAGCUCCUGCUGCAUGGUGGGGGUUGGAAAGUUUCGGCGGUUGGGGAUGGACUCGCGGCUUAUCAGCUUGUUGGUGGGGUAGUGGCUUACCAAGGCUUUGACGGGUAGCCGGCCUGAGAGGGUGACCGGCCACAUUGGGACUGAGAUACGGCCCAGACUCCUACGGGAGGCAACAGUGGGGAAUAUUGCACAAUGGGCGGAAGCCUGAUGCAGCAACGCCGCGUGCGGGAUGACGGCCUUCGGGUUGUAAACCGCUUUCGCCUGUGACGAAGCGUGAGUGACGGUAAUGGGUAAAGAAGCACCGGCUAACUACGU